Molecule: ribosomal RNA, 253 nt
Filed under: uncultured bacterium
Lineage: Bacteria
Description: partial 16S ribosomal RNA
Rfam family: Bacterial small subunit ribosomal RNA
Source: RNAcentral
UACGUAGGGGGCAAGCGUUGUCCGGAUUUAUUGGGCGUAAAGAGCGUGUAGGCGGCCCGGUAAGUCCGCUGUAAAAGUCAACGGCUCAACCUUUGAAUGUCAGUGGAUACUGCCGGGCUAGAGUCCGGAAGAGGCGAGUGGAACUCCUGGUGUAGCGGUGGAAUGCGCAGAUAUCAGGAAGAACACCAACGGCGAAGGCAGCUCGCUGGGACGGUACUGACGCUGAGACGCGAAAGCGUGGGGAGCGAACAGG